This 226-nucleotide long non-coding RNA is filed under the name Capsicum annuum. RNAcentral describes it as "long non-coding RNA (CANN_LNC011066)". Lineage: Eukaryota; Viridiplantae; Streptophyta; Magnoliopsida; Solanales; Solanaceae. The record is from RNAcentral.
GUAACCGGAAGAAAACGUUAAAAGCUUCGGUCACAGCAAAUGGUAACACAAUGCCGCCGUUAACUCGCUCGCUUCUCCAAACAACAUAUUCUGGGGUGACAAGGUUAGGUUGGCACACCUGGAAAAGUUCAUACUUUACAAUUGUUUCCAUGCACUGAUAAUCUCACGUACCUUCCGAACUGAAUCCUCUGCCCCAUAGUCAAACUCUAGCUGAUCUAACCCAAAA